UGGACGAAAACUGACGNUGAGGCGCGAAAGCCAGGGGAGCGAACGGGAUUAGAUACCCCGGUAGUCCUGNCCGUAAACGAUGGGUACUAGGUGUAGGAGGUAUCGACCCCUUCUGUGCCGGAGUUAACGCAAUAAGUACCCCGCCUGGGGAGUACGACCGCAAGGUUGAAACUCAAAGGAAUUGACGGGGGCCCGCACAAGCGGUGGAGUAUGUGGUUUAAUUCGACGCAACGCGAAGAACCUUACCAGGUCUUGACAUUGACGGACAGAACUAGAGAUAGUUCCUCUUCUUCGGAAGCCAGAAAACAGGUGGUGCACGGUUGUCGUCAGCUCGUGUCGUGAGAUGUUGGGUUANNNNNNNANAAAANNNCGCAACCCCUAUCUUAUGUUGCCAGCACUUUGGGUGGGAACUCAUGAGAGACUGCCGCAGACAAUGCGGAGGAAGGCGGGGAUGACGUCAAAUCAUCAUGCCCCUUAUGACCUGGGCUACACACGUACUACAAUGGGAGUUAAUAGACGGAAGCAAAACCGCGAGGUGGAGCAAACCCGAGAAACACUCUCUCAGUUCGGAUCGUAGGCUGCAACUCGCNUACGUGAAGUCGGAAUCGCUAGUAAUCGCAGGUCAGCAUACUGCGGUGAAUACGUUCCCGGGCCU
RNAcentral lists this ribosomal RNA (655 nucleotides) under uncultured bacterium. Its description in RNAcentral is "partial 16S ribosomal RNA". It matches the Rfam family "Bacterial small subunit ribosomal RNA", at positions 730 to 1381 of the family's 1533-position model. The record is from RNAcentral.